RNAcentral lists this ribosomal RNA (272 nucleotides) under uncultured prokaryote. RNAcentral's name for it is "partial 16S ribosomal RNA". It matches the Rfam family "Bacterial small subunit ribosomal RNA", at positions 524 to 794 of the family's 1533-position model. The record is from RNAcentral.
UACGUAGGGUGCGAGCGUUGUCCGGAAUUACUGGGCGUAAAGAGCUCGUAGGUGGUUUGUCACGUCGUCUGUGAAAUUCCGGGGCUUAACCUCGGGCGUGCAGGCGAUACGGGCAAUACUUGAGUGCUGUAGGGGAGACUGGAAUUCCUGGUGUAGCGGUGAAAUGCGCAGAUAUCAGGAGGAACACCGAUGGCGAAGGCAGGUCUCUGGGCAGUAACUGACACUGAGGCACGAAAGCGUAGGGAGCAAACGGGAUUAGAUACCCCCGUAGU